GGGCAUCCCUGUCAGAGCGUCACC
This 24-nucleotide ribosomal RNA is filed under the name Ceratodon heterophyllus. Its description in RNAcentral is "partial 5.8S ribosomal RNA". The record is from RNAcentral. Lineage: Eukaryota; Viridiplantae; Streptophyta; Bryopsida; Pseudoditrichales; Ditrichaceae.